RNAcentral lists this ribosomal RNA (483 nucleotides) under uncultured bacterium. RNAcentral's name for it is "bacterial SSU rRNA". It matches the Rfam family "Bacterial small subunit ribosomal RNA", at positions 28 to 526 of the family's 1533-position model. The record is from RNAcentral.
GACGAACGCUGGCGGCGUGCUUAACACAUGCAAGUCGAGCGGAAAGGCCCCUUCGGGGGUACUCGAGCGGCGAACGGGUGAGUAACACGUGAGUAAUCUGCCCUUCACUUUGGGAUAACCCCCGGAAACGGGUGCUAAUACCGGAUACGACGCACUCGGGCAUCCGAUGUGUGUGGAAACUUUUUGGGUGGGGGAUGUGCUCGCGGCCUAUCAGCUUGUUGGUGGGGUAAUGGCCUACCAAGGCUUUGACGGGUAGCCGGCCUGAGAGGGUGACCGGCCACACUGGGACUGAGACACGGCCCAGACUCCUACGGGAGGCAGCAGUGGGGAAUAUUGGACAAUGGGCGGAAGCCUGAUCCAGCAACGCCGCGUGAGGGAUGACGGCCUUCGGGUUGUAAACCUCUUUCAGCACCGACGAAGCGUGAGUGACGGUAGGUGCAGAAGAAGGACCGGCCAACUACGUGCCAGCAGCCGCAGUAAGAC